UACGAAGGGGGCUAGCGUUGUUCGGAUUUACUGGGCGUAAAGCGCACGUAGGCGGAUCGUUAAGUCGGGGGUGAAAUCCUGGAGCUCAACUCCAGAGCUGCCUUCGAUACUGGCGAUCUCGAGUCCGGAAGAGGUGAGUGGAACUCCUAGUGUAGAGGUGGAAUUCGUAGAUAUUAGGAAGAACACCAGUGGCGAAGGCGGCUCACUGGUCCGGUACUGACGCUGAGGUGCGAAAGCGUGGGGAGCAAACAGG
This 253-nucleotide ribosomal RNA is filed under the name uncultured bacterium. RNAcentral's name for it is "partial 16S ribosomal RNA". It matches the Rfam family "Bacterial small subunit ribosomal RNA", at positions 524 to 776 of the family's 1533-position model. The record is from RNAcentral.